GUGCUUGCUUCAGCAGCACAUAUACAAAAAUUGGAACGAUACAGAGAAGAUUAGCAUGACUCCUGCGUAAGAAUGACAUGCAAAUUUGUCAAGUGUUCCAUAUUAAA
Molecule: small nuclear RNA, 107 nt
Organism: Grammomys surdaster
Lineage: Eukaryota; Metazoa; Chordata; Mammalia; Rodentia; Muridae
Source: RefSeq, a predicted model, not a curated record